GAAGACCCUCCUCCCCUGAGCUAGAGAUGCGCAAAAAACGUGAUUGUUUCCCAUCUUCUAUCCAAGCACAUAACAGCCGCAACAGUGAAAUUAAAACGACACCCCCCACCCCCCAAAUUUGAUACCUUUGAAUGCCUCCCGAAACGCCAACGGGAGGACUUCAGCAAAAACACACAAACCCUCCCCAUCGCCGGAAGAAGCAGCCAUGAAAUCCAGCUAUUUUUGAUUUGAAAUGACAACACCCCAUCGUUCAUCUUCUUCUUCUCCAACCUCUUAAUCACCGGUAAAAUCCAUCAAUCAAGAGCUCCUUUAGUAUAUUUUCCGAUGACUAUCCAGUUUUUCGAUUGAGUUUCAUUGACCGUUUCCAUUAGUUCCUACGAAGUCCACUCGAGGUCGUCGUUGGUCUUGGGUUGGGCGCAAUUGAAUUUUUCGAUAUAACUGAGAUCGUUUGAGGUCCGGUCGUUGAUUUCGUCCCAGUUCGAGUGUUGUUUCGAAUUUCAGUUGUAGUGCCCCACUCUGUCCAUCCUAGUUGCUGAAUUUUUGUCGAUUGAAAGCUUUUGAGUUAGAUUUCGGGGCUUGAUUCGAGGUCACUGUCCGAGGUUCAAUCCGGGUAGAUUCGCGCUACUGCUUCGAUUCUAUUGCUGCAGUUUUCAGCUUUCCUUGCAAGUGCAAUCGUUGGAAUUCAUAUUAAAUUGUAUCAUUGAUAUUCAAAUACACCGGAAAGCAAUUCAGGUUCAUCUAUUUCCCAUUUUGAGCAUGUUGUUUGAAUGUUGUGGUGAUGAGCAUGAUGUUAGUUAAGUUAUGUGUGCAUUUUUGUUUAUCUCUAUUUUAGCCAUGAAGAUUGAAAUGAUUCACUCUGUUAAUUGUUAUGGCUCAUUAUAUUUGAUUAAGCUUGUUAAUGUCAUGUUUGCUUGAUCUGAGAAACCGUCGAAAUUCUAGCUCGUCCAUGGCUGUAAAUGGAUUAUUUUUUCCUUUGAUUUUCCUUCGUCAGAUUUGUGACGAAGUCUUUGCCUUCAUUAGAUUUUGAUGCAAAAUUCCAUUUUCCUUUUCAUCAGAUUCAUAACAAAGUUUCUAAUGGCAUUCUCAGAUUUGUGACUACAAUUUCCUUUGCUAUAACAGAUUUAUAACAAUGUUGUUUCGUUUACUAAUUCUUCAGAUUUGUGACAAAGUAUUUGUAAUAAUUUUGUGAGAUUUUUGACAAUAUUGUAUCAAUGUUUUGAAUGUGUUCAUUUAGUUAUCUGAAUGUAUGUUUACUCGAAUUGGUUAUAGCUGAAUAUGAUUUUGUCU
Molecule: long non-coding RNA, 1287 nt
Filed under: Nicotiana benthamiana
Lineage: Eukaryota; Viridiplantae; Streptophyta; Magnoliopsida; Solanales; Solanaceae
Description: long non-coding RNA (NBEN_LNC024632)
Source: RNAcentral